AUUGAACGCUGGCGGCAUGCUUUACACAUGCAAGUCGAACGGUAACAGGUUAAGCUGACGAGUGGCGAACGGGUGAGUAAUGCAUCGGAACGUGCCCGAUCGUGGGGGAUAACGCAGCGAAAGCUGCGCUAAUACCGCAUACGAUCUGAGGAUGAAAGCGGGGGACCGUAAGGCCUCGCGCGAUCGGAGCGGCCGAUGUCAGAUUAGGGAGUUGGUGGGGUACAGGCUCACCAAGCCAACGAUCUGUAGCUGGUCUGAGAGGACGACCAGCGACACUGGGACUGAGAAACGGCCCAGACUCCUACGGGGGGCAGCAGUGGGGAAUUUUGGGCAAUGGGCGAGAGCCUGAUCCAGCAAUGCCGCGUGCAGGAAGAAGGCCUUCUGGUUGUAAACUGCUUUUGUACGGAGCGAAAAGGCCCUCUCUAAUACAGUGGGCUCAUGACGGUACCGUAAGAAUAAGCACCGGCUAACUACGUGCCAGCCGCCGCGGUAA
Molecule: ribosomal RNA, 493 nt
Filed under: uncultured bacterium
Lineage: Bacteria
Description: partial 16S ribosomal RNA
Rfam family: Bacterial small subunit ribosomal RNA
Source: RNAcentral